CAAUGAGGCAGGAGAGAGAGUAAGGCUAGGAGGAGGUGACAGGCAGAAGGGGAGGGAGAUCUGGGGGAAGAGUCUUUCAGAUGCCCUUUAGCACAUUCAAGGAACAGAAAGAAAGUAAACAUGGCUCCAGCCAAAAUGAGAUCGGCAGAUAAAAGUCAUAUAGAGAAUUAGGAGACAACUCAGAGGUUUGGUCUCAGGUGGGAAGAAAAAGACACUAAAGCCAUGGGCGGACUCAAUGGUUUCCUCAUGGACAGGGUGGUACCUGGUUCCCAGUAGACACUCCAGAAACUGGGCUUAAAUGGCAUCGUGAGCAAAUGAAAUUGGGUAUGAAGGAAAGGAGUUUCUGCAAUUUAGCAGGAAUGAGUGAUUGACGAGUAACACUAUCCAGAAACUGACAGACUGUCAAGCCUGCCUGCUACCCUGGGUUAUUUCAGCCUGGAAUUUCUGGCCCAGUGAGAGCAGUCAUUGCUUUCUCCCUCGAUGGGUUUCUCCAUAGAGAGUUUAGAACAGGAGAAAAAGAGAGAUGAGCAAGCUUUCUGCAAGCCAUAAAAUGAGGGGCUUUUGUGUGCUGUGCCUGUUUUGGGCUCCGUCUGUAUCUCCACAACAGCUCCAGUUCUGUGUAUUUAUCAGGCUGGUUGAGGCUCAUUGGCAAGUGGCACCUUAACAAGUGGAUCGAAAACUAAACUCAUUUUGAUGGCAAGUUAUAUUUUAUUCAAUGCAUAUGUUUGUUCUGCUGACUCAGGAUCUGGUCUUACAAAUGGGUAUUUCCUCGAGGUGGAGUCAAGGGAAGGCAUCUCCUGAUUUGCUUUGGCCUGGGCUUAUUUAGGGAUGCCUGUUCUAACUGGGCUUCUCAGAAGUGGGAUUUGCUUUUACCUUAUCCAAGAAAAGUGUAGAAAGUCCUCUGCCUGGGAGCAGAUACCUAAAAGCCAUCUAAGAGGGGGAGAGGGGGUGACCUGACCUUGGAAUUACUAAGGCCGGACUCACAGACCACCUUCUGUUUUGUGGCAAAAGGGACAUAGAGUAUGGCCCCUCGCUUAGCCUGACUGCACUUCCUGAUGUCUACAGUAAAGAAUGAGUGUAGGAGUUCCCACUGUGGCUCAGUGGGUUAAGAACCCAACGUAGCGUCUAUGAGGAUGUGGGUUUGAUCCCUCCCCCUGCUCAGCGGGUUAGGGAUCUGGCAUUGCCACAAGCUGAAGCAUAGGUCACAGAUGCUGCUCAGAUCUGGUGUUGCUGCGGCUGUGGUGUAGGCCGGCAGCAGCAGGUCUGAUUCGACUCCUAGCCUGGGAACUCCUAUAUGCCAUCCUAUUUAAAAAAAAAAAAAAGAAAGAAGGAAUGAAUGAGUCUCAGUUUUUCAGAGGGACCAAUUUACUCAAAACAUUUCUGAGUCUCUACUCCUGAGUUAUGUCCUUAAGCCAUAAGACACAGAUGCACUAAAAACAGAUGCUCCAAGGACCCCCUACACACUGAUGCCUGGGGGUUUCCUCUGGGCCAUGCUUUCUUACCUCCAUCCUGACACUGUACUCAGGAGCCCCCUCUAGUCCCAGAUGUUCUUGCUUAUUUACCUGACUCACUCUUCUCUUGCCUAGUGCAACCUUGGUAACUCGAUGCUGGUCCUGGGCUCCUUGCCCUGGGCACCAAUGGCUAUGUUCCUGGAUAUGACUGCUGAGAUUUACUCUGGCCUCUGAAAUAUGCCACCUCAGCCAGCCCAGCUCCCCCGAUCCUGGCAGCCUGCUCUGACCAGAGAGAAGUCAAGACAUUAAGACCAUUCAGUGUCUGUCUAUGAAUUCUACAUGCUGGUCACAUGCUGGACAAAUAAUGCUUCCCCCUUCUACCCCAAAACUUCCUUAGACAAGUUCAGCCCCCAUGUGCUAAUAAUUCAGAACGCUGUGAGCAGGUGUGUUUCCCUGACUGCCCCUGCCAUUCAGCUUUCUCUGGCCAAGGCCUAAAGUCAUGGAAGCCCAGGACAAGGCCUCAGAGACAGCAGUGGGGAGAAUCCUCUCCUCACAGUCCCUAUCUGGCUUUAAGAGCAAAGGUGCCCCAUCUAUUGGUCAGCCUUCCUCUCACAACCCUCCGUCUCACUGUCUUGGGGUUUGGCCUCUGGUCCCCCUCUCACCCCAUCCUCCAGAAACUUUACCCACAACUACAUCAGGGAUUCCAGGGGCAGCUGCACUCUGGUUUGAUAGAGGGAUGAUGAAAGGUCGAGUUCCACCUUAUUAUCCUGAAAAAGCAUGAACCUACCAAGUUUAGGGGCCCUGAACAGACAGUUAUUCUAACCAGACAGCAUCUCCUCCCUGACCCAGUUUUCUUACAGAAUCACCUGCACCUAAUCCUCUACCUUGAAGCCUCACACAGACUGAUGGUCCCAGGGUUUUUUUUCUCAGGCUGAGGCCACAGUGUUCCUGAUUUGGCCCUUGCAUAUUAUUUAAUUGUUUAUCUUGACACACAGGUUAAUCCCAGAGGGCAAUGCUUAAAAAGCAGCGUGGCAUCCCUGGAUCUAGAGAGAAAAGCAGCUGUAACUUAUGUCGGCCUCUCUCCUGCCAGACUCCUCCCAAUUAUUCUGCAGACUUCUUUGCCCCGAGGGCAGUUUGCAGCUCCAGGGGACUGGAAUUGGCUUAAAAAAAAUUCUUUCCUCUUCUGUGCUCCAUGUGAGGGGGCAUUGUGUGCUCUCUAAAUAAUAAGACUGGCUUUGUGUGACCUAACUGGACAGGCCCUUUGAGAGAUUUUUCAGUUGCAGAGAGAGCAGUCAGAUGUACCCUAGGAAACCAAGAAGUUUCCAGACCAGGGAGAAAAGUCCAUGACAGCAAGAUUUUUUUUCCCUUAAAUUGUAUUAUGAACUAAUAAUUCCUCUCUCCUACUAGCAUUUAAGGUAAUUAGGUACAAGUUUAGCAGAAGAAUCCAAAUUUAUAUUUUGGAUCUGAUGAUAAAUAAUAGCAUUUAAUCAGAUGUCCCCCACCCACCCAUCGCUAACAAAACAACAAAUAGUCAACAAAUCAUUUUAGAGCCCAUAUUACAUGCACAGCAUUAUCAUCGAUUGAGAUAAUUAUUUCUUAUAUUUACUGAUUUCUUCCUCAGGACCCAGCACUAGCUAGAAGCUAAGGGGUUAGAAAGGGUGGAAGUCAUGACGCUUGGCCUCCAGCUUAUAGCCACUCACUUAGAAGAGAAUGCUGAGCAGAACUGACCACCGCCACCGCGGCAGGCAUGAGCUGGAAUUUACACACAUCAACUACAUCAUUCAAUCACCUCAAUAAUUCUGUGAGGAAGACAGUAGUAUCUCCAUUUUACACAUGUGGAAACAGACAUCCAAAGGGUAUAAAUGUGGUGGGUGGAAAAAUGCCUCCCCCUACACCAAAGAUGCCCAUGCCCAAAUCCCUGUGAAUAGGUUACUUUGCAGAGGUGAUUAAGCUAAGGGUCUUGAGAUGGGGAGAGUAUCCUGUACUACCUGGGCCCACCAGGUACUCAUAAGUGCUUAAAAGGGUACUCGUAGGAGGUAGGUAGAAAUGUCAGAGACAGAGCAACAGAGACAGAGAUGUGAUGAAAGAACAGAAGUUGCACUGAUGUGAGGCCAUAAACCAAGGAAUGUGGGCAGCCUCUAGAAGCUAGAAAAGGCAAGGACACAGAUUCUUCCCUGACGCCUCCUGAAGACAGCAGCCUUGCUGAUCCAUCUGAGGCUUCUGACCUCAAGAACUGUAAAGUAAUAAAUGUGUACUGUUUUAAACCCUUAAAUUAAUUGCAGUAAUUUGUUGCAGAGUAAUGGAAAGCUAAUAUGAUAUGUUUAUUCACACCUGCCCCUGUUACAUUCCAUCAUGGACUUGAGUUGGCCAGAAAAGGUUACCCCAAAGGAGUAGAGCCAGAGAGGCUGCCAAGUUGAGAGGUUGGGUGCCUGGAAUUCUGAAAACCCCAGGAGCAGAAUUCAAACGAAGUCAAUGUGUGCUUAAAGUCCACGUCCUUUCUUUUUUGCUGACCUGCUCCCUAAAGAUAAAAUGUAGGGGCAAAGUGAGUAAAAUAUCUGAGGAAAUAUGCACAAGGAGUUCAGGAAAUGAGUGAGUUCCAAGGAAGAGUUACUCACUCACUGCAGUGAUCAGGGAAGACUUGAGGUACCAGAUUGGCCUGGGCCCUCCAGCACAGGUAGAUUGGGAGAGCACUAGAGGCCAAGAGAAGGCCCUGCAGAUGGGGGAAUGGCUUGAUACAGAAACACCAAUGGAAUUCCCUGGUGUCUCAGCAGGUUAAGGAUCUGGGGUUGUCACUGCUACGGCUCAGGUCACAGCUGUGGCGCAGUUUGGAUCCCUAGCCUGGGAAAUUCUGCAUUCAGCAGGCGAAGGAAGGAAGGAAGGAAAGGAUGGAGGGAAGGGUGGGGGCAGGCAAGCCACUAGGAACAGAAAAAUGAACCAGUCUUCUCACCCUUUACUUCCCCUCCUACUCUCACUCCAUCCUCUGCCUCUGGAUUCCAUUAAAUUUGCCAAGCAAAACCUUGACAAAGCCUUUCAACAUCCCAUGUCUCCCUUAUGUCAUAGAUGGCAGGUCUUGACCUCAAAAGGUGUAUUUGUCUUUCCUGCCCGCAGUUACCUUACAGAUCAAAUCUUCCAGUCUAGUGUUCCCCAGCAAUAAGGAACAAAGUGUUUUCAGUUCUUCGAAGUCAACAAGCGCACUCUUCAUAUGUGAGAGUGGCCAGUUUACUUCAGCAUGUCCAUGAGAAAAUUUUGCAUUAGAAUUUCAGACUUUGAGCAAGGUGGGACAAUUUUGUUAAAUGCCAAGAGAGUGUGUUCAUAGAUACAGUUUUAACCUUUAAUUUAUAAUUAAGCAAAUUGUGAAAGAGGUAACAUAUAAUACAAACAGCCCUGGGGCAGAAGACAACCUCCAGUCCUGAAUUCUAUUGUUACUUACAACAUGUUAUUGAGCAAACUCUCUUACAGCUUCUGUAAAAUGAGAACUUAGUUUUAAAAUUCUCUUAAGCACUGAAGAUAGUUUGGCCAUAAGCAACAGAAAUUUUGAUUUGAACUGGUUCAAACAUUAAGGAAAUGUAUUACCCUGCAAAACAGAAAACUGAGUGACAGGGCAGCUUAGGGUUUUUAUUAGUUAAGGUUCACCAGAGGAACAGAAUAGGAGAUAUUUAUUUUAUGUUUUAUCACAUUAUAUUUUAUAUUAUACUACACUAUACUAUACUGGCUCACAUGAUCAUGGAGGCUUAGAAAAGCCAAUGAUAAAGUUCCAGUUCAAACCAGAAGCCUGAGAAUCAGGGGAGCCAAUGGUAUAAAUCUCAGUCUGAGUUUGAAGGCUCAGAACCAGGAGAACAAAUGCUUGCAGACAGGAAAAGAUGGCUGUCUCAGCUCAAGCAAGAGGGCAGAUUCGCCCCUCCUCUAUAUUUUUGUUCUACUCAAGUCCUUAGCAGAUUGGGUGAUCCCCACCCACACUGGUGAGAGUGAUCUUUACUCAGUCUACCAGUAUAAACACUAAUCUCUUCUGGAAGCACCCUCAUAGGCACAUCCAGAAAUAAUGUUUACUAGCUAUCUGAGAAUCCCUUAGUCUAGUCAAAUUAUGCAAAAAAUUAAGCCCC
This 5551-nucleotide long non-coding RNA is filed under the name Sus scrofa (pig). RNAcentral's name for it is "lncRNA (ENSSSCG00060047593.1)". Lineage: Eukaryota; Metazoa; Chordata; Mammalia; Artiodactyla; Suidae. The record is from RNAcentral.